GAUGAAGAACACAGCGAAAUGCGAUAAGUAGUGUGAAUUGCAGAAUUCAGUGAAUCAUCGAAUCUUUGAACGCACAUUGCGCCCUUUGGUAUUCCUUAGGGCAUGCCUGUUCGAGCGUCAUUUAAACCUUCAAGCUAAGCUUGGUGUUGGGUGACUGUCCGCUUCACGGCGGACUCGCCUCAAAAUUAUUGGCGGCCGGUACAUUGGCUUCGAGCGCAGCAGAAACGCGAACUCGGGCCCGUCGUAUUGGCUCCCAGAAGCUAUCUUCACAAUUUUGACCUCGGAUCAGGUAGGGAUACCCGCUGAACUUAAGCAUAUCAAUAAGCGGAGGA
Molecule: unclassified non-coding RNA, 332 nt
Filed under: soil metagenome
Description: partial contains 5.8S ribosomal RNA, internal transcribed spacer 2, and large subunit ribosomal RNA
Rfam family: 5.8S ribosomal RNA (bases 1-120)
Source: RNAcentral